UGGGCAACCUGCCCUCAGCUCUGGGAUAACUCCAAGAAAUUGGGGCUAAUACCGGAUAUGACUGCUGACCGCAUGGUCUGGUGGUGGAAGGAUUUAUCGGCUGGGGAUGGGCCCCGCGGCCUAUCAGCUUGUUGGUGGGGUAGUGGCCUACCAAGGCGACGACGGGUAGCCGGCCUGAGAGGGUGACCGGCCACACUGGGACUGAGACACGGCCCAGACUCCUACGGGAG
RNAcentral lists this ribosomal RNA (230 nucleotides) under uncultured bacterium. Its description in RNAcentral is "partial 16S ribosomal RNA". It matches the Rfam family "Bacterial small subunit ribosomal RNA", at positions 118 to 347 of the family's 1533-position model. The record is from RNAcentral.